UGUCAUCUCACUGACAGCCGGGGCAAAGGGGCUUUGGUGACUUCUUGGAAAGCUGGAUGUGUGUCCCUGGAACAUGAAGGACUCGAUAGGCUGGGGUCUGAUUCAGCCUGGAAAAUCUAAAGGGCCAGAGCCCCUUACUGGCUAGCUGUGCUGAGUGUCGAGGGAGGAGAGGAGGAGCUGAAGGUGGCCUGCUCUCCACAAGGUGUCGUGGCAAAGGAUGUGGGCAAGUUUCCUGUGAACCAGAACUGGCUGAGGAAGUGUACCGCCAGAUGCUGGGGGAGUGAAGAAAUAGUGCAGGAAGAAUCAGAAGAGACACAACUCCCCGUCAAGCAAACUGCAGGUGCCCACCAGGAACAGGGAGCGGCUGGCUGCAAAGAGCCCAGGAAGGAACGUUCAAGAAGAUGAAUCCACUGGGAGACCCGGGGGCUAGAACACCACCAGUCCAUUGCAAGAUGGCUGCUGCAGCUCCAGACAUCACUCCUCACAGAACUUCAUUCAAUGGAAGAAAUGAAAAGGAAGACGUGUUCUCUGCAUCACUCCUUUGUUGUCAUGGAGACUGGCACUGCUCCUAGAGAAGAUGGUCUCUGCCAGCUCAAGACUGAAGUGAUUUUUAAAGCCAAUUGUCUCCAAGAAAAGAGAAUUUGCCUUCCUGAGAAUUCUAACAAAAUUCCCAGGGAAGACUUUGAUUGGCCUGGCUGGAUCACAUGACCAUUCAUGAGCAAAAACAAACAAGGCAAACAGUGGCCAGAAGACGAAUCCCCCUCUGCAUAGGACCCCACCCCACACAUGAACAAAGGAAGAGAAACCUUGCAAAGAAAGAGUAGUAGGAAAAUUAGGAGUAAAUUCAGAGUCAAAUGAUGUCACAGACACCAAGGAAAGAGAACUUUAACAUUGAGAGGGCAACUCUUUCAAAUGCAACUAUAGUAUAUUUUAUUAAAAUAAGGAACUGCAAUGUCUUCAUUGGAUUGGUAAAAUGUUGGGCACUGGUAACAAUGUUUUGGUAGGGUUAUGGGGAUGGGAGUGGGGGUGGAAUGAGAGUAGUUAUCAAUGGGCUUAAAGAGUGCAUAGAAAGAAAGAAACAAACAAAAUUGUAAAUGACCCAAGAAAUUUGGCAGAAAGUAGUAGAAAUAGAGAAGUUAUAAAGAAAGACAUAAGAUCAAGGUAAGAUAUUUAGGCUAUAAAAGACUUGAGUUAGUAGAUGAGAUGGGAAUCUGAAGAUAAAGAAAGAAAAAUUAUUUUAAAAAGGAAAAUUGAACUAAGUAAAAUAAUCAUUAGCAGCAUCAAGUCAAGAUGUAUGGCAGCUGAAAAUUCCUGAGUAUCUAAAUCCUCCUUCACCUUCAUGAUGACCGAAGAAAUAGAAGUCCUGCCAGCAUCUGCUACAUUCAUUCAUUCAUUUGUUCAUUCAACAAGUGUUUAUGAAACUUGGCCAGGAACCCAUCCAGCUGCUAGUGAACCAGCAGUGAACAAAACUGACAAAACCCCUGCUCUCAUGGGUAUUAAAUGCCUCAGAUACGUGAGUCCUGGCUCUCCCACCUUUCUGGGGAUCUGAGCUGUGCAUUCGACUCCCAGCUCUUUCUGAGCCCACAGACAGGUGUACCUAGACACUAGGUACCAUCUCUGACAGCUGGAAGUUUGGUUCCCUGAAUUACUCCACAAACUUCACAGCUUGCGAGCUGCUUACCCAUUACCUGAGCAGAGAGAGAAUAUAAUCAUUUCUAGCUCAUCAUCUUUUUCUCUUCCAUAUAGAACCUAGAGAGGGUUGGGGUAAAACAAAAUUUCCCCUACCCUAAGCUACUGGUAGAAUUCCCAAAAUAAGACGAACUUCUCUAGAUGAUUCACCUAAAAAACACUCCACACUUCUCCUGUGCCCCUGACAAAAACAAGCAAGGGAAGCUAUUAUUCUGGGCUACAGGUGGAGAUCAGAGACGGGCAUUCAACCUGAUGGAAGCAGAGAGCAAGACUUGAGUAUGUGGACUCUGGAAUAAGACCACUUGGGUUCCAAGUGUAGUGUCCCCACUUGUCAGCUUUGACACCUUGAGCAAGUUAACCUGCCUGAGGAGCAGUUCCAUAAUUACCAUCAUCAUCAUCAUCAUCCACCUACAUCAAGGAGCUGUGCAAAUGAGAUACAGUCAUUGAAAUGACCAUGUGGGCUGAGAGCUGGGGCCAAAAUGAAAAGAGAAUAAAGGCUGUAGGAGAAAACAUCCAACGGUCACUAGAUGACCCUGUGAAAUAGUGUUUACGUAAUGGUUCGCCCUCCUUUAGACCCACUCAGCCUGGACAUGGUGAGACAGGAAGGAUAAAAUUUCUCUGUCCACUUCAGAAAUUGAGGGUUGGUAUAAUUCAUUCUUAAUUCUUCAUGUCUGGGGCCAAUGGGCUUAUGUCAUAUGUUUAAAGAAAAUCUAUCUUCCUCUUAAAAACAUAAACUCAGUGCAACUAUGAGGUCAAAAUUUCAGCUAAAGACUGGGUUCCUGCAAAAUGUCCAUAAAGUGUCUUACCAUUUAUGACAGGACAGCUGUUGCCUCUUUUUCCAAGAAGGAAUUAAAGGAUCUUAUUACCCUAAAUGAGAAUGACUGAAGCAUGAUUAUUGUCCUUUUAAUCUUUUUCUCCCCAGUGGAAAUUUACAUAAGAUGGAGCUGUAAUCCAGUCCUUUCAUGCCAGCAGCGUGUCAGAAAAUCUCCCCUCUCAUGGUCUCCAUGGCAGCAGGUCUCAACCUGAGCCCAGGCAGCAUUUGCCUCGUGGAGCAGAUUUGACUUUCAUCUGGUGAAUGCAAUCAAUGCAGACAAGAGUGCUGGAUGCCUCCAACCAGAGAUUAUUUCUGGGUUUGAAUUCCAUGUGUGUUUUGGCUCUCUGUAUUGGUUAAACUCACCCGAUGAAUUCACGUCUGUUUGUUACUUUAUGUCUUGAUGAAAUGGCCCGAGAAGCCUCCUGGCAUUUUGAAUGCUGGCUUUCACUCUCUACCAAUGGUGGUGCUUUUUCCAGUUUUCGAAGAAGGGAGUGAUGCGACCAAGCACUUUCCGGAUCAGUGAGGACUUGCCUUCAAGUUGUUCUCUCGGCAGUGGACCACUCUUUCUCAGCUCAUCUUUUUGUGAUGUCCUGAAAAACACUGACCUGUGGCCACUGAACAGAGUUGAGCUCAUGAGGGGGAUGAGCUAUUGUAAAGCUGAGUGAGCACAGCCAGACAGGAAUUAGACCCGUGAUCCACCCUCAUGAGAAGUACCCAAUGGAGUGGCCAUGUUCAGCAUUCUCAAGUAGAAGUUAGGCUUUUCUAAAUGGGAAUUUAAAGCCUCCACUUGCUUUGUCCUGUGAAAGACCCUGUUUAGAGAAUGAAAAGACAAGCUGCAGACUAGGAGAAAAUAUUUGCCAGUCACAUAUCCGACAAAAGACUUGUAUCCAAACUACAUAAAAGCCUUUCAAAACCCAAGGGUAAAAAAGCAAACAAACAAUCCAAUGAGAAAUGGCCAAGAAGAUACGAACAGAUAUUUCACAAAAGUGGAGAUACAGACGGCAAAUAAGCAAAAGAAAAAUUGUUGAACAUAAUUAGCCAUUAGGAAAAUGCCAAUUAAAAACACAAUGAAAAAUCCCUACAGCUAAAGGUAAUGAAUUCCAUGUGUUUGCCAUCAUUGUCUGAAAUCACUCACACUUUGUAUUUGUCAUUCUUUUAUUUAGCCUUUUGAAACUUCGUGGGUGACCCUCAUAUUCCAGUCUAUUGGAAUCUGGUGA
Vicugna pacos (alpaca) is the source of this 3720-nucleotide non-coding RNA. The record is from RefSeq and is a predicted model, not a curated record. NCBI's taxonomy places the organism in Eukaryota, Metazoa, Chordata, Mammalia, Artiodactyla, Camelidae.